GGGGAAGGGAUCUGAGUUUGCGCAAUGAGGACAAAGGCAACCGAUAGAACAACGCGUUGGUGCGGAGUGUAGAGAGAUUGGCUUUCGUUCAUGAGAGGAGCGGAAAUUGAUGGGUGGCGAAUAAAUAAAAGGAAACUGGGCAACCUGUGGCUGCAAGAAACACAAGUCGAAAUGUAGUUUUCUAAUGCAGAUUGAGGAAAUGCUCUGAGAUGUCCAUGCGAUGUAAUUGCAAUGAAGAGAGAAGCUUGAAGAGGGCCCCCCGAGAUGGAUGAGGGUGUUGCUGGCCAGGCAGCAUUUGUUACCCAUCCCGAAUUGCCCAGAGGGCAGUUGAGAGUCAACCACAUUGCUGUGGGUCUGGAAUCACAUGUAGGCCAGACCAGAGCAUUAUGAAGCUUUGGAAUUGUCUACCCUCGUGGAUCCCUGUUGAGCAUCAUUUUUGAACAUAUUCAGAACUGAGAUUAUUAAUCUAUCGAAGAAUCAAGGUCUAUGGAAAGUGAACAAGAAUGUGAAAUUGAUGAAGAAGAUCAAGCCUGACUGUACUGAAUGAUGGAGCAGACUUGAGGGACAGAAUAGUCUACUCUUGCUCCAACUUCUUAUAUUCUUAUUCUAUACAACUCAAGCAAGUAACUAGGUUAACUGAGCUCAAGAAUGUAUCCACAGCAGUCCUAAUUUGUAACACUCCCCCAUUCUCUCUGUUCAUGCUAUCAUUCUGUUUCAUUCUUCUUCCACAGAGCAUUCAUACCAAAAUUUUCCCUAUUUCUCCCACACCAAGCACCACUUCCAGCAUAUGCCUCUCUUUAUUUCUGUUUAUUUUUGUUUGCCAUGAUUGCAAUCUACUUCUCCAGUCAGUAUCCUGUUUUUAUUGUAACUCGUUACUUCACACUCAAGAAUAUCUACGAUGAUAUCUACAAAUCAGAGCAAAUGCAUCGAAUGAACAAUUCACAGAUAAUGUGCAAACACACAAUUUAACUCAUGCAUUUUACAUAGCUUUUAUUUUCUGUCAUCUCACUUACUCAUAGUAUUUUUCCCACAGGUUUCGGUAUCUUCCCUGGCCAGACAUAUCAAACACAGUGAAGGACAACCUGAAAUUAUACAAAGUAAUAAAAAAAAAGCAUGAUUACUCUA
This is a long non-coding RNA of Rhincodon typus (whale shark), 1125 nucleotides long. RefSeq lists it as uncharacterized. The transcript has 4 exons. The record is from RefSeq and is a predicted model, not a curated record. NCBI's taxonomy places the organism in Eukaryota, Metazoa, Chordata, Chondrichthyes, Orectolobiformes, Rhincodontidae.